This 67-nucleotide transfer RNA is filed under the name Gorpis humeralis. RNAcentral's name for it is "tRNA-Pro". It matches the Rfam family "tRNA". From Rfam's summary of the family: Transfer RNA (tRNA) molecules are approximately 80 nucleotides in length. The record is from RNAcentral. Lineage: Eukaryota; Metazoa; Arthropoda; Insecta; Hemiptera; Nabidae.
CAAUAGAUAGUUUAAUUAAAAUAUUAACUUUGGAAGUUAAAGAUGAUAAUAAUAUUAUUUCUGUUGA